This 355-nucleotide unclassified non-coding RNA is filed under the name soil metagenome. RNAcentral describes it as "partial contains 5.8S ribosomal RNA, internal transcribed spacer 2, and large subunit ribosomal RNA". The stretch from base 1 to 120 matches the Rfam family "5.8S ribosomal RNA", at positions 35 to 154 of the family's 154-position model. The record is from RNAcentral.
GAUGAAGAACGUAGCGAAAUGCGAUAAGUAAUGUGAAUUGCAGAAUUCAGUGAAUCAUCGAAUCUUUGAACGCACAUUGCGCCCAUUAGUAUUCUAGUGGGCAUGCCUGUUCGAGCGUCAUUAAGUCCACUUAAGCCCUGCUUAGUGUUGGGAGACUGCUCCAGCGGUGCUACCCUGUAGCUACCCUGCAGCUCCUCAAAGACAGCGGCGGAGUUGUGGUAUCCUCUGAGCUUAGUAACUUGUUCUAGCUUUCGAGUACACCACUUCCCCUGCCGUAAAACCCUUAAUUUUUAAAGGUUGACCUCGGAUCAGGUAGGAAUACCCGCUGAACUUAAGCAUAUCAAUAAGCGGAGGA